AGUAACCUUGGUAUGUGUACCCUAGGCUGGCUCUAGGACAGGCCUCUUUAAGGUCAGUUAGAAGUUAACUUUUACCUCUUCCUUCGUAACCUAGGACUCUGGGUGAGACGGUCCCAUUCGCUGGCUAGAAGAAUGAGGUUCCUGUUAGUACCCAGAAAAUACCCUAGAGGGAGACGGAACCCAUGGAAACAGCACAGAGGUCACCAUGUUUUAAGCUCCUGUCCUUGGCAACACAGUUAAAAAGUGAAUCUCCAUAAUCCAACCAUUCCUUACAAGAGAAGGGGCCACCUAUCACAGAUACUGAAUGUUGGAUCAUGGGAUACCAAGUGACUGUGACAGCCAUGCUGCUUGUGCUGUUCAUGGUAGCGCAUUCGCCCAGCCAUAGAGUCAGGUGUGUCCAGCAUUACUACGAAGGUGAGUGUAGGUUUAGAAAUUUAAAACUGACUCAAGAGAAGAAAAGUUCUGAAGAAGUAGCAUGUCACCCCCCUGUUCCUGGGAAGAUGAAAAGGUGAAGAUCCCCAGAAGCCUACACCUGAACACACUUGUGACCCUAAGGCUUUUGCUUCAGAGUCUGCACUUUAUUAAGCAUCUGAGAAUACAUGCUGAAGAGAAACCCUAUCACUGUAAAGAAUAUGAUAAAAGUCAGAAUGCAGGUCUGACAUCACAUCAAAGGCUGCACACAAGAGAGAGACCUUAUAGGUGUAAGGAGUUUGGGAAAGCCUUCAGUGAGAACUCACACCUCCUUAAACAUCCCAGAAUUCAGACGGGGGCAGGGAGGGGCGACUUUAUCAGUGUGCUGAAUGUGGGAAAUGCUUUACUGAGAGCAAAGGUUUUAUUUCACAUCGGAAAAUCCACAUUGGAGAGAGACCUUGUAAUUAUGAUGAAUGUGGGGAAGCUUUCCACAACAGCACAAACCUUUUUAGACAUUAAAAAAGAAAAACAUAUCAGAGAGGGAAAAAGACAUAACUGAUGAAUGUGUGUAAAACUUUAGAUUUCCCUUGUAAUUGACCUUUAGAGAUGUUCAGAGGAAA
This is a long non-coding RNA of Equus caballus (horse), 1031 nucleotides long. RefSeq lists it as uncharacterized. The record is from RefSeq and is a predicted model, not a curated record. Lineage: Eukaryota; Metazoa; Chordata; Mammalia; Perissodactyla; Equidae.